Long non-coding RNA from Rosa rugosa (rugosa rose), 567 nucleotides. RefSeq lists it as uncharacterized. Lineage: Eukaryota; Viridiplantae; Streptophyta; Magnoliopsida; Rosales; Rosaceae. The record is from RefSeq and is a predicted model, not a curated record. The transcript has 4 exons.
GUGUUUCAAUCGAUGUCUCUCAAUGGUUCUCUCUCCCCAUGCAUUCAAUUUCAAAUUUAACCAAAAUGAGGCUGUAAUUUCAGAAUUUGAUUGCAGUAUAUGGUGGCAGGAUGGUUGCACUUCGCAUUGUCCCGCUUCCAUGAGUGCAGUUAAGGAAAGAGUGACAACUUGAGAAAAUCUAAAAAUUUCCAAGUCAGUGACCUCUGGUACUCAAGAUGAAUGCAGCCUGAUUUGAACUUGACAUUUGUUCUGAGAAAGAAAUAGCAAACGUAGAGGAUGAACUUUGUAGAGUUGGACUUCAUACAUAAUUGCUGGCCAGCACCUUCAAUCAAACAUCAAAACAUGAGGUUCAGUGCAAUCUGCAUAAGUUUUCUGUACAUCUUUCAUAUGCAACUUUUUUGAUUUCAACCAUGUACAUAAAUGUUUCAUAUAAAUGCUCAAAUUCUCAAAUUUAAGGGUCUGUAUCAAGAUUUUGUUACUUGGGUAGUCUGGUGAGGAAUCUACUUUGAGGUCUCUGAGUAUAAUAUUUCUAUAAUUUAAAUACCGCAAAAUGUGUCCAUUAAUUAU